RNAcentral lists this transfer RNA (70 nucleotides) under Pseudetroplus maculatus (orange chromide). Its description in RNAcentral is "tRNA-Pro". It matches the Rfam family "tRNA". Rfam says of the family: Transfer RNA (tRNA) molecules are approximately 80 nucleotides in length. Their secondary structure includes four short double-helical elements and three loops (D, anti-codon, and T loops). The record is from RNAcentral. Lineage: Eukaryota; Metazoa; Chordata; Actinopteri; Cichliformes; Cichlidae.
CAAGAAAUAGUCUAACGUAGGAUCUUAGCUUUGGGAGCUAGGGGUGGGGGUUAAAACCCCUCUUUCUUGA